GUCCACGCUGUAAACGAUGGAUGCUAGCCGUUGGCGGGUUUACUCGUCAGUGGCGCAGCUAACGCUUUAAGCAUCCCGCCUGGGGAGUACGGUCGCAAGAUUAAAACUCAAAGGAAUUGACGGGGGCCCGCACAAGCGGUGGAGCAUGUGGUUCAAUUCGACGCAACGCGAAGAACCUUACCAGCCCUUGACAUGUCCCGUAUGUGUUUCAGAGAUGAGACCCUUCAGUUCGGCUGGCGGGAACACAGGUGCUGCAUGGCUGUCGU
This 266-nucleotide ribosomal RNA is filed under the name uncultured bacterium. RNAcentral describes it as "partial 16S ribosomal RNA". It matches the Rfam family "Bacterial small subunit ribosomal RNA", at positions 793 to 1055 of the family's 1533-position model. The record is from RNAcentral.